RNAcentral lists this ribosomal RNA (476 nucleotides) under uncultured bacterium. Its description in RNAcentral is "bacterial SSU rRNA". It matches the Rfam family "Bacterial small subunit ribosomal RNA", at positions 37 to 507 of the family's 1533-position model. The record is from RNAcentral.
UAGCGGCAGGCUUAAUACAUGCAAGGUCGUGGGCAGCAGGUUUGUAGCAAUACAGAUGCUGGCGACCGGCAAACGGGUGCGGAACACGUACAGACCUCCUUUGAGCGGGGAAUAGCCCAGAGAAAUUUGGAUUAAUACCCCAUAGUAUAAUGAAGUGGCAUCACUUUAUUGUUAAAGAUUUAUCACUCGAAGAUGGCUGUGCGGCUGAUUAGGUAGUUGGCGGGGUAAAGGCCCACCAAGCCUGCGAUCAGUAACUGGUGUGAGAGCACGACCAGUCACACGGGCACUGAGACACGGGCCCGACUCCUACGGGAGGCAGCAGUAAGGAAUAUUGGUCAUUGGAGGCAACUCUGAACCAGCCAUGCCGCGUGGAGGAUGAAGGUCCUCUGGAUUGUAAACUUCUUUAUAUGGGACGAAAAAAGGCUUUUCUAAGUCGUCUGACGGUACCAUAUGAAUAAGCACCGGCUAACUCCGUG